AUUGAACGCUGGCGGCAGGCCUAACACAUGCAAGUCGAGCGGGGUUUUCGGACCUAGCGGCGGACGGGUGAGUAAUGCGUAGGAAGCUACCCGAUAGGGGGGGAUACCAGUUGGAAACGACUGUUAAUACCCGCAUAAUGUCUACGGACCAAAGUGUGGGACCUUCGGGCCACAUGCUAUCGGAUGCGCCUACGUGGGAUUAGCUAGUUGGUGAGGUAAUGGCUCACCAAGGCGACGAUCUCUAGCUGGGUUUGAGAGGACGACCAGCCACACUGGGACUGAGACACGGCCCAGACUCCUACGGGAGGCAGCAGUGGGGAAUUUUGGACAAUGGGCGCAAGCCUGAUCCAGCAAUGCCGCGUGCAGGAUGAAGGCC
This 376-nucleotide ribosomal RNA is filed under the name uncultured bacterium. Its description in RNAcentral is "bacterial SSU rRNA". It matches the Rfam family "Bacterial small subunit ribosomal RNA", at positions 30 to 416 of the family's 1533-position model. The record is from RNAcentral.